AAGUCGUAACAAGGUAACCGUAGGUGAACCUGCGGUUGGAUCAUUAAUGAAUUUUAGGGCGGAAGCUCUAUCAAGGUGUUAGGGAAAGCUUCGGCUGACUCUGCACCGAAACCUUGUGUGAACUGUUAAAUGUCUCUGGUGAGACGUCUACUUGUAGACCUUGCCAGAUUAUUACUAAACAUUUGUCUAUUCAUGGUUUAUUAAAUUAAAAAAUUGAAACAAUUUUUGACAACGGAUCUCUUGGCUCUC
Molecule: unclassified non-coding RNA, 249 nt
Filed under: fungal sp.
Lineage: Eukaryota; Fungi
Description: partial internal transcribed spacer region
Rfam family: Eukaryotic small subunit ribosomal RNA (bases 1-46)
Source: RNAcentral